GAGAGCGAGAGUGGCGGCGGGGACGGGCUCGACCCAGCCGGGGUCUGCAGCCGCCCAGGCUGAGGCGCUCCUCGUGGGGGCGUUUGCAGUCGGGCGUGUUGUUUCAGGGAUUCCACGGAUGCUGCCACGCGCCCCCCGGUGGCGCUGGGCUCUCACUGCGGCAGACGCUGUGCUCGCCUGCACAACCAGGAGGGGCCAGGUCAGUGGGCGGCACAACAGGAAGGAGAGAUGGUGCUGGGGGCCUGCGCCUGGCCAGCAGGCGGUGGCCAGGAGGCAUGAGGGAAACUCCAAUGGAAUUAAGCGUCAUAGAUGGGGAAAAACGGUAUAUAAGGAAACAAAACUUCUCUUCGGGGCUCUCAAGACUGACAGGAGUCACUCACUGAAGCGCCGGCAUCGUCAAGAGCCGCUUUUGCUCCUGUCUUCCUGUUAAAGAGUUACCUGUGCUGGGGCCCUGUUUCCUGCUUCACGUCCACCUCAAUCUGGGCAGCACCCCAGGCCAAGCGGAGGAGAAACAGAAAUAAAAGUAACAAAGACUCAGGAAAUCUCUGAAGUGCCAGGCCAAAGCACCUGUGCUAGAUCCUGUAGCCCAGCCUUCACUUUCCCCCACUCAAAGGAGUUGCAGGUUGUCAGAGCUCUCUGGCAGUCAUUUCUGGCAAUCGCCCAGAGAUCCAUUGACAGGCCUCGGGGUAGGGUGCAUGUCUUACAAAGUCUGAAAACCUGGUUUAUCUUGGCUCUUCCUAACCCUCCGCAGCCCGGUACAUCUUUCCAGUUCUGUCACACUCCUUUCUGCUGGCAUGGACCCAAGAACUUUCCACCGUUAACUGUAAUAAAUGUAGCCACUUUUUCUUUGA
Long non-coding RNA from Heterocephalus glaber (naked mole-rat), 851 nucleotides. RefSeq lists it as uncharacterized. The record is from RefSeq and is a predicted model, not a curated record. NCBI's taxonomy places the organism in Eukaryota, Metazoa, Chordata, Mammalia, Rodentia, Bathyergidae.